This 2573-nucleotide long non-coding RNA is filed under the name Canis lupus familiaris (dog). RNAcentral's name for it is "lncRNA (ENSCAFG00845006141.1)". The record is from RNAcentral. Lineage: Eukaryota; Metazoa; Chordata; Mammalia; Carnivora; Canidae.
UGCCUAAAAAGCCAUUUGCUCAAGCCUGCCCUGUCUGGCCAACUUCUAUGUAUUUAAAGGAUCCUCCUUGGUCUCUGAAGCGCCCCCUCCCCCCGCCCAACACCUCCUCCUGAAUGGUCAGGUGCAGACACCACCUCUGGGAGGGCAGGGAGCCUCCUGGGAGACCUCCAGUCCAUCAUCUGCCUCUGAGCUGCUGCUGUAACCUGCCUGCAGUAGUCGAGAUCGGUUGGCAAAUUCCUAAAUUAAGGUUCUGUUUACUCUGCUGUUCCAAAGGCUUGUUUUGAGCAAGAUGUUGUGCUUUAAUUAAAAAGAGGAGAGCUCAUGAGUAAGUGAAAAUAUUUUUGAAUCUUCACAGAAAUGUCUGAAUUCAGUUUCUUGUGUUUCACAGUGAGGGGGGUCAGGCUGGUCAGCACUUUUAUCUGUGACACCACUAAAAAGUCUUUCUGUGAGCUGACAGCGGGCUCCCCUGCCCGGUAGACUUGGGAAGGGGACCCUAAGUCCAAAAAAAAAAAGCGUUCCUGCUGCUUCUCUGUUGGCAGGGUGAGCCGGUAUUCAGGUGUCAUUAGGACACAUUCCUCAUUUACCUUUCCAGCCAGAGGCUUCCUAAAUGUUUCAUAAUCGCUCCACAGCUGGAAUGCAGCUGCUGCUGGGUGGAGCAAACACAACUCCUUCUGGGUCAGCAGGGUGAGGGAGGGUAGGGAAUCUUGGAAGAUUGGGAAAGUCCUUCUUUCUGAAGCCAGCGCUCAGGAAUGAGUGGGGCCUCUGGUGUGAAAACUUUCCAGAUGGGGGAAGGAAGGCUCCCUUUGGAAGCCCAGGUCUUGGCCAGAGUCUCCCCUGCCCAUGUCCACCACCUGGGAGCAGACAGGGUGGUCAGCAGGUCAUGGCAAGCGGGAGACGUGAUGCUAAUGACUCCAGCUCCACGUGGCGACCAUUCAGGAAAAAGCUGCAAUGUUCUCUCUGCCACAUUAAUCAGAGAAACACAUCAAGAGCUGUUGCAUGGAGACAGCUUUCCUCCGGGUACCUGCCCUGCAUGCUAAUCACCACCCCUCCUGGCGCUGCUACCAAGCAGGACCUGCCGGUGGUUGAGCUUGUCAGUGUGCCAGGCCCUUCGCAUCUCUCUGAGGAUGGGCUGGUCCACUUCCUCCUCCUCCCCCAGCUGCCCCACCUUUCCUUGAGGGCUCUUCCACAAGAUGACCUGGAAUUGCUGCAUCUGCCUAUAGAAAAGACACCCCCUGCCUUCCCUCCCGGUGUGGAGUCCUGCAAACCUGACAAUGAGCUAUGGGAGGCCACAGGCUUUGGAGCAAGCAAGCAAAAAGAGAGGUUUUUGUGUUUUUUUUUUUAAGAUUUUUUUUAAGAUUUUAUGUCUUUAUUUGAGAGAAAGGGAGCACGAGCAGGAAGAGGCACAGAGGGAGAAGCAGACUCCCCGCUGAACAGGGAGUUCAGGCUCAAUGCGGCCCUCGAUCCCAGGACCCCGAGAUCAUGACCUGAGCCGAAGGCAGACACUUAACCGAGUGAGCCACCCAGGUGCCCCCCAAAAGAACGUUUUAAAACAUGUCUCUGUUAUUUCCCUCCUUGGCCUCCAUCAGCUCCCCACCUGGCACAUGAACUUGUUCUUCCCUUAUAUGGUUCUGAGAAAAGCACCAUAUGGCAGUUCAUCAGGCCCACGGGCUGGUUUCCAUCCAGCCCACUCUGAUUUCCUCCCAGGCUUGGGUCUGCAGAAUGACCCACCCUUCAUGAGGCCUGUGUAGGAAGAGACAGUACCAGUGAAGACAUACAGAGCUCGGACCACCGGCCAGGAGUUGUUCUUGUUACUCACGUGUGGUGAUGCUAUCAUCAUUUCUCUUUCACAGGUGAAGACGCGGACAUGUGGAUGUGUUCAGAGACAUCCUCUAGGUCACAUGGCUAGUGAUGGCAGAGCUGGGAUCUGAGCUGUACUAACCAUCAGAUUUUGCUGAUUUGCUAUCACGGAAAACCCAAUCUUAGCUACACGGUGUUGGUAGGAAGGAAGCAGAGUUUGGAAGAAGGGGCCCUGCCCAUGUGGCCAGGAGAAGGGUUGCCAGAGGGAAGGCGGAUAAAUCCAUGGGGCCGGACAAAGCCUGACUGACCCCACCUCCAGCAGAGCAGAGUCUGAGCUCAAUAAGGGAAGUCAGCACAAGCCAGGGAAAGCCAGGAGGAUCCCUGCAAGCACCCCCCUUGAAGAGCUGGCGAGGUUGCUGCAGGAAGCUGCAGGGAGCCCCUGGAGACUGGUUUCCCCUUUGGGCUCCUUGCUGGGGUCCAUACCACUGGCUCCCUCCAUCACCUCUUUCUCUGCUCUCUAGGAGAGAGGGACAAUGGCACCCUCCCUGAAGCCUGCCGAGCUGCGAGGCUGUGCUGGGGUGUGGUGGGAGCACAGGGAUCUGUGCAAGGAUCUCAGCUCCGUGUUUGCUCUUCAGCUGCGUGGCCAAGUGAUGCCCACCUCCAUGCCCUUGAGCCUCACCUACAGGGUGGCAUGGCGAAGAGGUGUGAAUGAGCUAAGUGUCAAGAACCUAGGUAGGCUCCUGGCGCAGAAGAGGUGUGGGAUCCAUGUGUCCUGC